RNAcentral lists this ribosomal RNA (331 nucleotides) under uncultured bacterium. RNAcentral's name for it is "partial 16S ribosomal RNA". It matches the Rfam family "Bacterial small subunit ribosomal RNA", at positions 338 to 667 of the family's 1533-position model. The record is from RNAcentral.
CCUACGGGGGGCAGCAGUGAGGAAUAUUGGUCAAUGGGCGCGAGCCUGAACCAGCCAAGUCGCGUGAGGGACGAAGGUCCUAUGGAUUGUAAACCUCUUUUGUCGGGGAGCAAAAGACGCCACGCGUGGCGUUCCGAGAGUACCCGAAGAAAAAGCAUCGGCUAACUCCGUGCCAGCAGCCGCGGUAAUACGGAGGAUGCGAGCGUUAUCCGGAUUUAUUUGGUUUAAAGGGUGCGUAGGCGGAAGAUCAAGUCAGCGGUAAAAGUGAGAGGCUCAACCUCUUCGAGCCGUUGAAACUGGUUUUCGUGAGAGAGUGAGAAGUAUGCGGAAU